RNAcentral lists this ribosomal RNA (425 nucleotides) under uncultured bacterium. RNAcentral's name for it is "bacterial SSU rRNA". It matches the Rfam family "Bacterial small subunit ribosomal RNA", at positions 354 to 796 of the family's 1533-position model. The record is from RNAcentral.
GUGGGGGAUAUUGCACAAUGGAGGGAACUCUGAUGCAGCAACGCCGCGUGAGGGAAGAAGGUCUUCGGAUUGUAAACCUUUGUCCUCAGGGAAGAUAAUGACGGUACCUGAGGAGGAAGCUCCGGCUAACUACGUGCCAGCAGCCGCGGUAAUACGUAGGGAGCAAGCGUUGUCCGGAUUUACUGGGUGUAAAGGGUGCGUAGGCGGAACUGCAAGUCAGUGGUGAAAUCUGAGGGCUCAACCCUCAAACUGCCAUUGAAACUGUGGUUCUUGAGUGAAGUAGAGGUAGGCGGAAUUCCCGGUGUAGCGGUGGAAUGCGUAGAGAUCGGGAGGAACACCAGUGGCGAAGGCGGCCUACUGGGCUUUAACUGACGCUGAGGCACGAAAGCAUGGGUAGCAAACAGGAUUAGAAACCCUUGUAGUCC